GAAUGAUGAAUACAUCUGGAGGUACAGGUUUGCACCACUGUAAAUUUUCUUCCCAAUCCAUCGCGUGGUUUCCAUGGUCGUUUCUUCUUCAACGAGCAAGUUAAAAAGGAUAUGGUGCCAAGUGAGGAUCGGAGGACGUUGCUUGUUUGUUUUCGGAGUUGGUGUUUCUUCUUCUGAUUUGACCGACGGCCAAGUACAGGUCAGAGAGAUGGAUUGAAGAAUGAAGAAGAUGAAGAAGACUCGAGACUAAUUAAGUUAACUCUGUUCUUCUCUGUUUC
Molecule: non-coding RNA, 278 nt
Organism: Camelina sativa (false flax)
Lineage: Eukaryota; Viridiplantae; Streptophyta; Magnoliopsida; Brassicales; Brassicaceae
Source: RefSeq, a predicted model, not a curated record